This is a long non-coding RNA of Gadus macrocephalus (Pacific cod), 835 nucleotides long. RefSeq lists it as uncharacterized. The transcript has 2 exons. Lineage: Eukaryota; Metazoa; Chordata; Actinopteri; Gadiformes; Gadidae. The record is from RefSeq and is a predicted model, not a curated record.
CAGAUACAGCUGCAAACACGUCCCGUUUCAUUGUGGGAGGAGUCCCUGCUCAUUUGGAGGCCAUGCCCAUGGCCAUGCGCCCACAUAAGGCCUUUCUGAGAGCAGAGGAGGCCCCUAGCUGCUUCACCUUGGGAGCCUCUGCCAGACAAGACCAACAGCCGUCUGACAUGGCUCCUCCUGGAUGUAAAGCUACUUUUCUUUCUGACUCGAAGAGGAGGAGGAGACGUAGGAAUCCUAUUAUGGUACAGCCGCCUGGAAUAAAUCAAUGGGAAGGCCAUCUAAUAACAGUAAAUACCUACUUUGAAAAAGGAAGGCCAGUGUAAGAGUUUCAGCUCUUCCUCUCUUCUAAGAUGUAACCGACGUUCACUGUUUACAAAAUGGCUACUUUAUCUAGAGACUCGGUCCAAAGUGGCAUGUGGUGAGCAGCAGAUAUAGGGAGACUGGUGCCGUUGGUCUUCAAAGGAAUAACGGUCCCUAUAGGAAUGGAUGUGGUUGUCUUGUUUGUUUGUCGGAAUGUAACAAAUGACUGCUCUGAAAGGGGAAUAAUCUGCUCAGAGGUCAAUGCUGUAAAUUAAAAUAAUAAGUGUGAAUUAUUUUUGAUAAGUAAAUUGUACAAUAUAUCAUGAGAUUGCUUCCAUAGGUUACAUGUUUUGUUUGAAGGACCUACAACAUACAGAACCACAGAAACAAAACUAAACAAUCCGGUUUUUUUACACAAGCCCUCUCUAAUGAAAUCUUAAACCUAAGUUUUAGUCACACUAAAGCGAUAUGAAGAAAAAAUUAAGAUAUUUUGAUUCUAAUGGAAUAAAGAGAUGAGACAACAAAGAAUUCGAAA